CCCGUGGAAGAAAUUGUGUUAGC
Molecule: non-coding RNA, 23 nt
Filed under: Gossypium hirsutum (cotton)
Lineage: Eukaryota; Viridiplantae; Streptophyta; Magnoliopsida; Malvales; Malvaceae
Source: RNAcentral